RNAcentral lists this long non-coding RNA (247 nucleotides) under Elaeis guineensis (African oil palm). Its description in RNAcentral is "long non-coding RNA (EGUI_LNC067653)". The record is from RNAcentral. Lineage: Eukaryota; Viridiplantae; Streptophyta; Magnoliopsida; Arecales; Arecaceae.
GAUUAUUAUUUUAGCAAAAAUUUGCAUCAAAAAAAUUCUGUUAUAAUAGAUUUAUAACAACCUUCAAUCAACCAUUGAUUUGAUUCUUAAAAUCUGGUCAAAACUAGAUCAAAUAAUUUUUAAUUAUAGGUUUAAUAUCUAACAUAAAAACUAAUCAUAUAUCAUAUAUAUUCAUAUCAAAAAUAUUCAUCUAUGCAUCCAUAUAUCAGCCUUACUCUGAUACCAGUUCAAGAGAAAAUAUCCAAUC